RNAcentral lists this ribosomal RNA (253 nucleotides) under uncultured bacterium. Its description in RNAcentral is "partial 16S ribosomal RNA". It matches the Rfam family "Bacterial small subunit ribosomal RNA", at positions 524 to 776 of the family's 1533-position model. The record is from RNAcentral.
UACGGAGGGAGCUAGCGUUAUUCGGAAUUACUGGGCGUAAAGCGCACGUAGGCGGCUUUGUAAGUUAGAGGUGAAAGCCUGGAGCUCAACUCCAGAAUUGCCUUUAAGACUGCAUCGCUUGAAUCCAGGAGAGGUGAGUGGAAUUCCGAGUGUAGAGGUGAAAUUCGUAGAUAUUCGGAAGAACACCAGUGGCGAAGGCGGCUCACUGGACUGGUAUUGACGCUGAGGCGCGAAAGCCAGGGGAGCAAACGGG